GGUUAAGUGACUAAGCGUACACGGUGGAUGCCUUGGCAGUCAGAGGCGAUGAAAGACGUAGUAACUUGCGAUAAGCCCAGAUUAGGUAGUAACAACCAUUUGAGUCUGGGAUUUCUGAAUGGGGAAACCCACGUGCAUAAGCACGUAUCCUUACCUGAAUACAUAGGGUAAGGAGGCGAACCGGGGGAACUGAAACAUCUAAGUACCCCGAGGAAAAGAAAUCAACCGAGAUUCCGAAAGUAGCGGCGAGCGAAAUUGGACUAGCCCUUAAGCUUUACACGCGUUAGACGAACGGUCUGGAAAGUCCGACGAUACAGGGUGAUAGUCCCGUAGUUGACGACGUGUGUUCAGUGAAAUCGAGUAGGGCGGGACACGUGAUAUCCUGUCUGAAUAUGGGGGGACCAUCCUCCAAGGCUAAAUACUACUGACUGACCGAUAGUGAACCAGUACCGUGAGGGAAAGGCGAAAAGAACCCCUGUGAGGGGAGUGAAAUAGAACCUGAAACCGUGUACGUACAAGCAGUAGGAGCAGGCUUUGUCCUGUGACUGCGUACCUUUUGUAUAAUGGGUCAGCGACUUAUAUUCAGUGGCAAGGUUAACCAUCUAGGGGAGCCGUAGGGAAACCGAGUCUUAACUGGGCGUUCAGUCUCUGGAUAUAGACCCGAAACCAGGUGAUCUAGCCAUGGGCAGGUUGAAGGUUGAGUAACAUCAACUGGAGGACCGAACCGACUAAUGUUGAAAAAUUAGCGGAUGACUUGUGGCUAGGGGUGAAAGGCCAAUCAAACCUGGAGAUAGCUGGUUCUCCCCGAAAGCUAUUUAGGUAGCGCCUCGGACGAAUACUACUGGGGGUAGAGCACUGUUAAGGCUAGGGGGUCAUCCCGACUUACCAACCCUUUGCAAACUCCGAAUACCAGUAAGUACUAUCCGGGAGACACACGGCGGGUGCUAACGUCCGUCGUGGAGAGGGAAACAACCCAGACCGCCAGCUAAGGUCCCAAAUUACUACUAAGUGGGAAACGAUGUGGGAAGGCUCAGACAGCCAGGAUGUUGGCUUAGAAGCAGCCAUCAUUUAAAGAAAGCGUAAUAGCUCACUGGUCGAGUCGGCCUGCGCGGAAGAUGUAACGGGGCUAAGUAGUAAACCGAAGCUGCGGCAAUACUCUUUGAGUAUUGGGUAGGGGAGCGUUCUGUAAGCGGUUGAAGGUGUGUGGUAACGCAUGCUGGACGUAUCAGAAGUGCGAAUGCUGACAUGAGUAACGAUAAAGGGGGUGAAAAACCUCCUCGCCGGAAGACCAAGGGUUCCUGUCCAACGUUAAUCGGGGCAGGGUAAGUCGACCCCUAAGGCGAGGCCGAAAGGCGUAGUCGAUGGGAAACGGGUUAAUAUUCCCGUACUUCUUACAAUUGCGAUGGGGGGACGGAGAAGGCUAGGUGGGCCUGGCGACGGUUGUCCAGGUUCAAGUGCGUAGGCUUAAGAGUUAGGUAAAUCCGGCUCUUUUUAAAGGCUGAGACACGACGUCGAGCACCUACGGGUGUGAAGUCAUUGAUGCCAUGCUUCCAGGAAAAGCCUCUAAGCUUCAGAUUGUAAGGAAUCGUACCCCAAACCGACACAGGUGGUCGGGUAGAGAAUACCAAGGCGCUUGAGAGAACUCGGGUGAAGGAACUAGGCAAAAUGGUACCGUAACUUCGGGAGAAGGUACGCUCUCGACGGUGAAGUCCCUUGCGGAUGGAGCUAUUGAGAGUCGCAGAUACCAGGUGGCUGCAACUGUUUAUUAAAAACACAGCACUGUGCAAAAUCGUAAGAUGACGUAUACGGUGUGACGCCUGCCCGGUGCCGGAAGGUUAAUUGAUGGGGUUAGACUUCGGUCGAAGCUCUUGAUCGAAGCCCCGGUAAACGGCGGCCGUAACUAUAACGGUCCUAAGGUAGCGAAAUUCCUUGUCGGGUAAGUUCCGACCUGCACGAAUGGCGUAAUGAUGGCCACGCUGUCUCCACCCGAGACUCAGUGAAAUUGAAAUCGCUGUGAAGAUGCAGUGUACCCGCGGCUAGACGGAAAGACCCCGUGAACCUUUACUACAGCUUGGCACUGAACAUUGACCCUACAUGUGUAGGAUAGGUGGGAGGCUUUGAAGCACGUACGCCAGUAUGUGUGGAGCCGUCCUUGAAAUACCACCCUUGUAGUGUUGAUGUUCUAACGUCGACCCCUUAUCGGGGUUGCGGACAGUGCCUGGUGGGUAGUUUGACUGGGGCGGUCUCCUCCCAAAGAGUAACGGAGGAGCACGAAGGUGGGCUAAUCACGGUUGGACAUCGUGAGGUUAGUGCAAUGGCAUAAGCCCGCUUGACUGCGAGAAUGACAAUUCGAGCAGGUGCGAAAGCAGGUCAUAGUGAUCCGGUGGUUCUGAAUGGAAGGGCCAUCGCUCAACGGAUAAAAGGUACUCCGGGGAUAAAGUUGGCAUACAGUAUCGACACCUUGAUGGGGCUAUAGCUCAGCUGGGAGAGCGCCUGCCUUGCACGCAGGAGGUCUGCGGUUCGAUCCCCGCAUAGCUCCACCAUCUUUAAGCGCAUUCGAUGAGUGCUUUUAAAAAUGGUUACUUCAUUAGAAGUGAUUAGCUCUUUAACAAUUUGGAAAGCUGACAAAACAACAAUUUAAUUGUUGUUUUGUAAAGUUCUCAAUGUUUGUCUUUAUGACAAACACCAAAAUAACACAUUCAAGUGUUCUUGGAAUUUGAGUCCGGCAAAAUCGAGUCUGCAUCAUGUAUAAAAAUUGCAGACAACUUUGGUGACUUGUUCAUCAACUCGAAACUCCUUCGGGUUGUAUGGUUAAGUGACUAAGCGUACACGGUGGAUGCCUUGGCAGUCAGAGGCGAUGAAAGACGUAGUAACUUGCGAUAAGCCCAGAUUAGGUAGUAACAACCAUUUGAGUCUGGGAUUUCUGAAUGGGGAAACCCACGUGCAUAAGCACGUAUCCUUACCUGAAUACAUAGGGUAAGGAGGCGAACCGGGGGAACUGAAACAUCUAAGUACCCCGAGGAAAAGAAAUCAACCGAGAUUCCGAAAGUAGCGGCGAGCGAAAUUGGACUAGCCCUUAAGCUUUACACGCGUUAGACGAACGGUCUGGAAAGUCCGACGAUACAGGGUGAUAGUCCCGUAGUUGACGACGUGUGUUCAGUGAAAUCGAGUAGGGCGGGACACGUGAUAUCCUGUCUGAAUAUGGGGGGACCAUCCUCCAAGGCUAAAUACUACUGACUGACCGAUAGUGAACCAGUACCGUGAGGGAAAGGCGAAAAGAACCCCUGUGAGGGGAGUGAAAUAGAACCUGAAACCGUGUACGUACAAGCAGUAGGAGCAGGCUUUGUCCUGUGACUGCGUACCUUUUGUAUAAUGGGUCAGCGACUUAUAUUCAGUGGCAAGGUUAACCAUCUAGGGGAGCCGUAGGGAAACCGAGUCUUAACUGGGCGUUCAGUCUCUGGAUAUAGACCCGAAACCAGGUGAUCUAGCCAUGGGCAGGUUGAAGGUUGAGUAACAUCAACUGGAGGACCGAACCGACUAAUGUUGAAAAAUUAGCGGAUGACUUGUGGCUAGGGGUGAAAGGCCAAUCAAACCUGGAGAUAGCUGGUUCUCCCCGAAAGCUAUUUAGGUAGCGCCUCGGACGAAUACUACUGGGGGUAGAGCACUGUUAAGGCUAGGGGGUCAUCCCGACUUACCAACCCUUUGCAAACUCCGAAUACCAGUAAGUACUAUCCGGGAGACACACGGCGGGUGCUAACGUCCGUCGUGGAGAGGGAAACAACCCAGACCGCCAGCUAAGGUCCCAAAUUACUACUAAGUGGGAAACGAUGUGGGAAGGCUCAGACAGCCAGGAUGUUGGCUUAGAAGCAGCCAUCAUUUAAAGAAAGCGUAAUAGCUCACUGGUCGAGUCGGCCUGCGCGGAAGAUGUAACGGGGCUAAGUAGUAAACCGAAGCUGCGGCAAUACUCUUUGAGUAUUGGGUAGGGGAGCGUUCUGUAAGCGGUUGAAGGUGUGUGGUAACGCAUGCUGGACGUAUCAGAAGUGCGAAUGCUGACAUGAGUAACGAUAAAGGGGGUGAAAAACCUCCUCGCCGGAAGACCAAGGGUUCCUGUCCAACGUUAAUCGGGGCAGGGUAAGUCGACCCCUAAGGCGAGGCCGAAAGGCGUAGUCGAUGGGAAACGGGUUAAUAUUCCCGUACUUCUUACAAUUGCGAUGGGGGGACGGAGAAGGCUAGGUGGGCCUGGCGACGGUUGUCCAGGUUCAAGUGCGUAGGCUUAAGAGUUAGGUAAAUCCGGCUCUUUUUAAGGCUGAGACACGACGUCGAGCACCUACGGGUGUGAAGUCAUUGAUGCCAUGCUUCCAGGAAAAGCCUCUAAGCUUCAGAUUGUAAGGAAUCGUACCCCAAACCGACACAGGUGGUCGGGUAGAGAAUACCAAGGCGCUUGAGAGAACUCGGGUGAAGGAACUAGGCAAAAUGGUACCGUAACUUCGGGAGAAGGUACGCUCUCGACGGUGAAGUCCCUUGCGGAUGGAGCUAUUGAGAGUCGCAGAUACCAGGUGGCUGCAACUGUUUAUUAAAAACACAGCACUGUGCAAAAUCGUAAGAUGACGUAUACGGUGUGACGCCUGCCCGGUGCCGGAAGGUUAAUUGAUGGGGUUAGACUUCGGUCGAAGCUCUUGAUCGAAGCCCCGGUAAACGGCGGCCGUAACUAUAACGGUCCUAAGGUAGCGAAAUUCCUUGUCGGGUAAGUUCCGACCUGCACGAAUGGCGUAAUGAUGGCCACGCUGUCUCCACCCGAGACUCAGUGAAAUUGAAAUCGCUGUGAAGAUGCAGUGUACCCGCGGCUAGACGGAAAGACCCCGUGAACCUUUACUACAGCUUGGCACUGAACAUUGACCCUACAUGUGUAGGAUAGGUGGGAGGCUUUGAAGCACGUACGCCAGUAUGUGUGGAGCCGUCCUUGAAAUACCACCCUUGUAGUGUUGAUGUUCUAACGUCGACCCCUAAUCGGGGUUGCGGACAGUGCCUGGUGGGUAGUUUGACUGGGGCGGUCUCCUCCCAAAGAGUAACGGAGGAGCACGAAGGUGGGCUAAUCACGGUUGGACAUCGUGAGGUUAGUGCAAUGGCAUAAGCCCGCUUGACUGCGAGAAUGACAAUUCGAGCAGGUGCGAAAGCAGGUCAUAGUGAUCCGGUGGUUCUGAAUGGAAGGGCCAUCGCUCAACGGAUAAAAGGUACUCCGGGGAUAACAGGCUGAUACCGCCCAAGAGUUCAUAUCGACGGCGGUGUUUGGCACCUCGAUGUCGGCUCAUCACAUCCUGGGGCUGAAGUCGGUCCCAAGGGUAUGGCUGUUCGCCAUUUAAAGUGGUACGCGAGCUGGGUUUAGAACGUCGUGAGACAGUUCGGUCCCUAUCUGCCGUGGGCGUUGGAAGAUUGAAGGGGGCUGCUCCUAGUACGAGAGGACCGGAGUGGACGAACCUCUGGUGUUCGGGUUGUGUCGCCAGACGCAUUGCCCGGUAGCUAAGUUCGGAAUCGAUAACCGCUGAAAGCAUCUAAGCGGGAAGCGAGCCCUGAGAUGAGUCUUCCCUGAUACUUUAAGUAUCCUAAAGGGUUGUCGGAGACUACGACGUUGAUAGGUCAGGUGUGUAAGUGCUGUGAGGCAUUGAGCUAACUGAUACUAAUUGCCCGUGAGGCUUAACCAU
Molecule: transfer RNA, 5699 nt
Filed under: Vibrio parahaemolyticus UCM-V493
Lineage: Bacteria; Pseudomonadati; Pseudomonadota; Gammaproteobacteria; Vibrionales; Vibrionaceae
Description: large subunit ribosomal RNA
Rfam family: Bacterial large subunit ribosomal RNA (bases 2810-5699)
Source: RNAcentral